UACGUAGGGGGCAAGCGUUGUCCGGAAUCAUUGGGCGUAAAGAGCGUGUAGGCGGUUCGGUAAGUCGGCUGUGAAAGUCCAGGGCUCAACCCUGGGAUGCCGGUCGAUACUGCCGGACUAGAGUUCGGAAGAGGCGAGUGGAAUUCCCAGUGUAGCGGUGAAAUGCGUAGAUAUUGGGAGGAACACCAGUGGCGAAGGCGGCUCACUGGACCGGAACUGACGCUGAGGCGCGAAAGCGUGGGGAGCAAACAGG
RNAcentral lists this ribosomal RNA (253 nucleotides) under uncultured bacterium. RNAcentral's name for it is "partial 16S ribosomal RNA". It matches the Rfam family "Bacterial small subunit ribosomal RNA", at positions 524 to 776 of the family's 1533-position model. The record is from RNAcentral.